GAUUAAAAAGAAUAUAGUUUAUUACAGCAUAACAAAGCACAUUGCCAUUAAACAUCACUUUAUCUGAGAAGCCAUAGAAGAAGGACAAGUGUAGCUAGAGUAUUGUAGGAGUAUAGCAUAAUUGACUAAUAUUUUCACCAAGACUUUGCCUAGGGACAAGUUCUACAAAUUCAAAGAAGCAUUGAAAGUUUAAGAGUAGCACAUUAAGGGGGAGAA
This 216-nucleotide long non-coding RNA is filed under the name Elaeis guineensis (African oil palm). Its description in RNAcentral is "long non-coding RNA (EGUI_LNC010459)". Lineage: Eukaryota; Viridiplantae; Streptophyta; Magnoliopsida; Arecales; Arecaceae. The record is from RNAcentral.